This 478-nucleotide ribosomal RNA is filed under the name uncultured bacterium. RNAcentral describes it as "partial 16S ribosomal RNA". It matches the Rfam family "Bacterial small subunit ribosomal RNA", at positions 29 to 507 of the family's 1533-position model. The record is from RNAcentral.
AUGAACGCUAGCGGGAGGCCUAACACAUGCAAGCCGAGCGGUAGAGUCUCUUCGGAGACUUGAGAGCGGCGCACGGGUGCGGAACACGUGUGCAACCUGCCUUUAUCUGGGGGAUAGCCUUUCGAAGGGAAGAUUAAUACCCCAUAAUAUACUGGAUGGCAUCAUCUGGUAUUGAAAACUCCGGUGGAUAGAGAUGGGCACGCGCAAGAUUAGAUAGUUGGUGAGGUAACGGCUCACCAAGUCAGCGAUCUUUAGGGGGCCUGAGAGGGUGAUCCCCCACACUGGUACUGAGACACGGACCAGACUCCUACGGGAGGCAGCAGUGAGGAAUAUUGAACAAUGGGUGAGAGCCUGAUCCAGCCAUCCCGCGUGAAGGACGACGGCCCUAUGGGUUGUAAACUUCUUUUGUAUAGGGAUAAACCUAGAUACGUGUAUCUAGCUGAAGGUACUAUACGAAUAAGCACCGGCUAACUCCGUG